CCUACGGGUGGCAGCAGUGGGGAAUAUUGGACAAUGGGCGAAAGCCUGAUCCAGCCAUGCCGCGUGUGUGAAGAAGGCCUUCGGGUUGUAAAGCACUUUCAGUGGGGAAGAAAGCCUUGGGGCUAAUACCCUCGAGGAAGGACAUCACCCACAGAAGAAGCACCGGCUAACUCCGUGCCAGCAGCCGCGGUAAUACGGAGGGUGCGAGCGUUAAUCGGAAUUACUGGGCGUAAAGCGCGCGUAGGCGGUCUGAUAAGCCGGUUGUGAAAGCCCCGGGCUCAACCUGGGAACGGCAUCCGGAACUGUCAAGCUAGAGUGCAGGAGAGGAAGGUAGAAUUCCCGGUGUAGCGGUGAAAUGCGUAGAGAUCGGGAGGAAUACCAGUGGCGAAGGCGGCCUUCUGGACUGACACUGACGCUGAGGUGCGAAAGCGUGGGUAGCAAACAGGAUUAGAUACCCUAGUAGUC
Molecule: ribosomal RNA, 465 nt
Filed under: Vreelandella stevensii
Lineage: Bacteria; Pseudomonadati; Pseudomonadota; Gammaproteobacteria; Oceanospirillales; Halomonadaceae
Description: partial 16S ribosomal RNA
Rfam family: Bacterial small subunit ribosomal RNA
Source: RNAcentral